This 1188-nucleotide long non-coding RNA is filed under the name Mus spicilegus (steppe mouse). RNAcentral's name for it is "lncRNA (ENSMSIG00000015667.1)". Lineage: Eukaryota; Metazoa; Chordata; Mammalia; Rodentia; Muridae. The record is from RNAcentral.
CUGCUGUUGAGCCCAUUAAUGCACAUUGAGAGCCAUGGUAGACUAGAUGGUGCUGGGAGCUGAGACAGCAAAAAUUAAGAAGAUCCAGUCCUGCAUCUUCCAUCAGCUCUUAGUGACAACAUUUUCAGCACACAGUGAUGACGAAGGUCAUUCAGAGGCUGUGUGAGAGCACACUGACCAUCAGCCGUAGCUACAGACCACACGAGUAACUAAGCCCCACAUCUAUUUUGCCUGUAACAAACACCUUGUCCCUUUCUUCUUAAUCCUGUUGGAAACCAUUUCGAAUGGCCUGUGAAACUCCACCACACUGCUGGAGGGGAGGCAACUAAUCGGUCGGGUCAGUUUUAAAAACUGCUUUGCACUUUAUAAGUGACAUGCGUACUUGCUGUGCUACACAGCUGUUCUGCUACCAGGUUUAUCAUCAAUAGUAGUGAAAAUGUAUGACCACACAAAACCUAUACAUAAAUACUUGCAGCGACUCUGUUCAUUGUCACUGACACGGUAAAGAAUUCAGAGACCUGGCAGCCACUGGUCAUGUAAAUUGUGACCAUUCAAACAGAAUACUACCUGUGAGUAAAAGAACCAGAAUUGGAGAUGGGAAAGGACCAACAAUUGAACUAGAUUUGAAUCCAUCAAUGUCUGCCUUAUGACUGAUGCUGCCAGUGUUUUCCUAUUAGGACAGGCUCAAACUGAUAAAGGGACAGACCAGUCCUAUCAAAUUAUACUGAUAAAAAAUAAUUCACAUGGUAAAAUUAUGAUGGUGGCAAUCAUAAGUGCCUCCCAAGUAGCUGGAAUGUGGAUGGACUUCCAGGUAAUUCUGGCUACAAUGUAUCAGGAGGUUGACUUCCAGCUAGAGAACUUCAAAAAUGCAUUACUGUGUCAGAGAAGUCCAAUUAACGGCUGAAAGAUUCAUUUGUAAACAGAAAAAUCUGCAUUUGGGCUACCAAGACGGCUCAGCACAAGAAGAUCCCUGCUGGUGAAUCUGACAGAGAAGUUCUUGAGUUUGGCCCCCAAGUCCCAUAUGGUGGCAAAAAGAGAACAGGCUCCUGCAAUUGUCCUCUGACCUCCAUACUUGCACCAUGGCAUGUGCUCUCAUGGGUGACACACAUCACACACACACACACACACACACACACACACCAAAUAGAAUGAAAACCUUAAAAAAUAAAUAAAUAAAACUUCCGUUCA